GUAAUAAUCCUGUAGUCGAAAAUGUUGUCUCUCUUGAGUGGAUCCUGAGUACGACGGAGCACGUGAAAUUCCGUCGGAAUCUGGGAGGACCAUCUCCUAAGGCUAAAUACUCUCUAGUGACCGAUAGUGAACCAGUACCGUGAGGGAAAGGUGAAAAGCACCCCGGAAGGGGAGUGAAAUAGAACCUGAAACCGUGUGCUUACAAGUAGUCAGAGCCCGUUAAUGGGUGAUGGCGUGCCUUUUGUAGAAUGAACCGGCGAGUUACGAUUUGAUGCAAGGUUAAGCAGUAAAUGUGGAGCCGUAGCGAAAGCGAGUCUGAAUAGGGCGUUUAGUAUUUGGUCGUAGACCCGAAACCAGGUGAUCUACCCUUGGUCAGGUUGAAGUUCAGGUAACACUGAAUGGAGGACCGAACCGACUUACGUUGAAAAGUGAGCGGAUGAACUGAGGGUAGCGGAGAAAUUCCAAUCGAACCUGGAGAUAGCUGGUUCUCUCCGAAAUAGCUUUAGGGCUAGCCUCAAGUGAUGAUUAUUGGAGGUAGAGCACUGUUUGGACGAGGGGCCCCUCUCGGGUUACCGAAUUCAGACAAACUCCGAAUGCCAAUUAAUUUAACUUGGGAGUCAGAACAUGGGUGAUAAGGUCCGUGUUCGAAAGGGAAACAGCCCAGACCACCAGCUAAGGUCCCAAAAUAUAUGUUAAGUGGAAAAGGAUGUGGCGUUGCCCAGACAACUAGGAUGUUGGCUUAGAAGCAGCCAUCAUUUAAAGAGUGCGUAAUAGCUCACUAGUCGAGUGACACUGCGCCGAAAAUGUACCGGGGCUAAACAUAUUACCGAAGCUGUGGAUUGUCCUUUGGACAAUGGUAGGAGAGCGUUCUAAGGGCGUUGAAGCAUGAUCGUAAGGACAUGUGGAGCGCUUAGAAGUGAGAAUGCCGGUGUGAGUAGCGAAAGACGGGUGAGAAUCCCGUCCACCGAUUGACUAAGGUUUCCAGAGGAAGGCUCGUCCGCUCUGGGUUAGUCGGGUCCUAAGCUGAGGCCGACAGGCGUAGGCGAUGGAUAACAGGUUGAUAUUCCUGUACCACCUAUAAUCGUUUUAAUCGAUGGGGGGGACGCAGUAGGAUAGGCGAAGCGUGCGAUUGGAUUGCACGUCUAAGCAGUAAGGCUGAGUAUUAGGCAAAUCCGGUACUCGUUAAGGCUGAGCUGUGAUGGGGAGAAGACAUUGUGUCUUCGAGUCGUUGAUUUCACACUGCCGAGAAAAGCCUCUAGAUAGAAAAUAGGUGCCCGUACCGCAAACCGAUACAGGUAGUCAAGAUGAGAAUUCUAAGGUGAGCGAGCGAACUCUCGUUAAGGAACUCGGCAAAAUGACCCCGUAACUUCGGGAGAAGGGGUGCUCUUUAGGGUUAACGCCCAGAAGAGCCGCAGUGAAUAGGCCCAAGCGACUGUUUAUCAAAAACACAGGUCUCUGCUAAACCGUAAGGUGAUGUAUAGGGGCUGACGCCUGCCCGGUGCUGGAAGGUUAAGAGGAGUGGUUAGCUUCUGCGAAGCUACGAAUCGAAGCCCCAGUAAACGGCGGCCGUAACUAUAACGGUCCUAAGGUAGCGAAAUUCCUUGUCGGGUAAGUUCCGACCCGCACGAAAGGCGUAACGAUUUGGGCACUGUCUCAACGAGAGACUCGGUGAAAUCAUAGUACCUGUGAAGAUGCAGGUUACCCGCGACAGGACGGAAAGACCCCGUGGAGCUUUACUGUAGCCUGAUAUUGAAAUUCGGCACAGCUUGUACAGGAUAGGUAGGAGCCUUUGAAACGUGAGCGCUAGCUUACGUGGAGGCGCUGGUGGGAUACUACCCUAGCUGUGUUGGCUUUCUAACCCGCACCACUUAUCGUGGUGGGAGACAGUGUCAGGCGGGCAGUUUGACUGGGGCGGUCGCCUCCUAAAAGGUAACGGAGGCGCUCAAAGGUUCCCUCAGAAUGGUUGGAAAUCAUUCAUAGAGUGUAAAGGCAUAAGGGAGCUUGACUGCGAGACCUACAAGUCGAGCAGGGUCGAAAGACGGACUUAGUGAUCCGGUGGUUCCGCAUGGAAGGGCCAUCGCUCAACGGAUAAAAGCUACCCCGGGGAUAACAGGCUUAUCUCCCCCAAGAGUUCACAUCGACGGGGAGGUUUGGCACCUCGAUGUCGGCUCAUCGCAUCCUGGGGCUGUAGUCGGUCCCAAGGGUUGGGCUGUUCGCCCAUUAAAGCGGUACGCGAGCUGGGUUCAGAACGUCGUGAGACAGUUCGGUCCCUAUCCGUCGUGGGCGUAGGAAAUUUGAGAGGAGCUGUCCUUAGUACGAGAGGACCGGGAUGGACAUACCUCUGGUGUACCAGUUGUCGUGCCAACGGCAUAGCUGGGUAGCUAUGUGUGGACGGGAUAAGUGCUGAAAGCAUCUAAGCAUGAAGCCCCCCUCAAGAUGAGAUUUCCCAACUUCGGUUAUAAGAUCCCUCAAAGAUGAUGAGGUUAAUAGGUUCGAGGUGGAAGCAUGGUGACAUGUGGAGCUGACGAAUACUAAUCGAUCGAAGACUUAAUCAA
This 2555-nucleotide ribosomal RNA is filed under the name Staphylococcus aureus. RNAcentral describes it as "partial 23S ribosomal RNA". It matches the Rfam family "Bacterial large subunit ribosomal RNA", at positions 364 to 2925 of the family's 2925-position model. Lineage: Bacteria; Bacillati; Bacillota; Bacilli; Caryophanales; Staphylococcaceae. The record is from RNAcentral.